Molecule: long non-coding RNA, 1068 nt
Filed under: Glycine max (soybean)
Lineage: Eukaryota; Viridiplantae; Streptophyta; Magnoliopsida; Fabales; Fabaceae
Description: long non-coding RNA (GMAX_LNC003143)
Source: RNAcentral
AAAAAACAAAACGCGUGCUAAUGGUAUUGUAUAACGUUUUAAGAAUAUCUCACACUAGGGACCCCGACACCAGUCAGACAAGAAUUUUCUAUCCGUGCUUCUUGUCAAGUUAGAAAAGAAAUUUGGAAUCGAUGCUAAAGAAAAAAGAGAGAAAUACAAAAUCGUGAAAGAACAAAAGAAAGGACACUCACCAAAGAAGAAAAAAAAAAGGCACUGUAAACAUUACUAUAUGUUCAAAAUUUACAUAUCCUGUAUAGAUUGCAAUACAACAUAUGAAAGAAAAGAAAAAAAAAAGUGCUAACUGAAGAACAAGCUAAGUAGUACUAAGCACUAAGCAUUGGCGUUUUUUUUUUUUCAGAAGCAAACAGCACUCUUCAUUUCUUCCCCCCAUAACAUCCAAUCAUAGUAGACAAAAUGCAUGGAAAAAUUUUAAUUUGCUUAAAGUACCUCUACACAAUAAAACCAACCUCAAACCUCAAUCUUAAUCUGCUCAUUUUUUAAACCUUGACUCACUCAAUAAAUAACUAAACAACACAUGACUCAACGGUUGUGGAGAGGAUCUGAUGCAUUGGGAACCUUUCUCUUCUGUGAGAAGUAAACACCAAAAGGGUAACGUGGAUUGAGGUGUUGAUUCGGCUUUUCUUGUUUCUCUGUCAUAUUGUGUGGCUGGUAGUGCUGAUCAACAACAACUGAAGGCUCUUCUUUUUCACCACAGACUAUGAAUGUGAGCAGAACAAAAACCAUGAACCUCUUCAACCCCCCAACAAGAGAGCACUGGUGAAAGUGCAUGUUUUGGUGGCUUCAGAGGAGAGGAGAGCGUGGUAACACUGAUGCAUACAUAUAUUGGGUGCAGUGCAGGUUGAAAAAGUUGGAGGAAUUAAAGGAAAGCAAAGGGCACUUGGAGAUCUGAGAUGAGAGAAAAAAGCUAAUAGGCUUUGUUUGAAGGGAAAAGGUGAUGCAGUGUUUUCAGGAGAGGAACAUUAUUUUCACAACAACUUUUUUUAUUAUAACAAUUUCUUUUUUUAUUAAUAAAUGUGAUAGAAUAAGAAGUCAGUAUUGAUAUCUAUU